RNAcentral lists this ribosomal RNA (690 nucleotides) under uncultured Alphaproteobacteria bacterium. RNAcentral describes it as "bacterial SSU rRNA". It matches the Rfam family "Bacterial small subunit ribosomal RNA", at positions 40 to 776 of the family's 1533-position model. The record is from RNAcentral. Lineage: Bacteria; Pseudomonadati; Pseudomonadota; Alphaproteobacteria.
CGGCAUGCCUAACACAUGCAAGUCGAACGAGAUCUUCGGAUCUAGUGGCGCACGGGUGCGUAACACGUGGGAAUCUGCCCUUUGGUUCGGAAUAACUCAGGGAAACUUGAGCUAAUACCGGAUGAUGACGUAAGUCCAAAGAUUUAUCGCCAAAGGAUGAGCCCGCGUAGGAUUAGCUAGUUGGUAGGGUAAAGGCCUACCAAGGCGACGAUCCUUAGCUGGUCUGAGAGGAUGAUCAGCCACACUGGGACUGAGACACGGCCCAGACUCCUACGGGAGGCAGCAGUGGGGAAUAUUGGACAAUGGGGGAAACCCUGAUCCAGCAAUGCCGCGUGAGCGAUGAAGGCCUUAGGGUUGUAAAGCUCUUUUACCCGGGAUGAUAAUGACAGUACCGGGAGAAUAAGCCCCGGCUAACUCCGUGCCUGCAGCCGCGGUAAUACGGAGGGGGCUAGCGUUGUUCGGAAUUACUGGGCGUAAAGCGCACGUAGGCGGCUAUUCAAGUCAGGGGUGAAAGCCCGGGGCUCAACCCCGGAAUUGCCCUUGAAACUAGAUAGCUAGAAUCAUGGAGAGGUGAGUGGAAUUCCGAGUGUAGAGGUGAAAUUCGUAGAUAUUCGGAAGAACACCAGUGGCGAAGGCGGCUCACUGGACAUGUAUUGACGCUGAGGUGCGAAAGCGUGGGGAGCAAACAGG